This 57-nucleotide small nuclear RNA is filed under the name Cervus elaphus hippelaphus. The record is from RNAcentral. Lineage: Eukaryota; Metazoa; Chordata; Mammalia; Artiodactyla; Cervidae.
AUCGCUUCUCGGCCUUUUGGCUAAGAUCAAGUGUGGAGAACACUGUUCUAACCAUUU